GCCGAUUCCACUGCAUCUUCGGGGAAUUCUAUUGCUUCAGCGAUGCUUGUUAUUGUGUCACCUUCUAGUCGUACCCAAGAAGUUACAGCAGAGAAAGAAUGUGAACCAUCUGGUAAGUGCACAAUAGAGAUGGUCAUAUCCCAUCUUAGUUCAGACUGUUUAGAAAACACAACUGAUUGGAUUAUUCAUUUAUAUGUUUUUGGAGCUGUUGACACAAUAGUUGACAGCCACUAAAUACAGGCCAGACACUACAAAACACUGCAGGACCUUUACAAGAAACCAAAGCCAAAUAAAUUUGCAGUUACCUAGCUCCUUGAUCAUGAAUUUAAUGCACAGAGGUCAUUUAUAGAUUCUAUGGGAGGCUUACCCAUGCUUUAAAGAACUGGAUCAUGUAAUGGAUCAAAUGCAUUGUAUUCUUAGUUGGAAUAAUCUUAACUACAUCACAGAAGUUAAGAGCAAAUGGACCAGUUUUUAUGGAAAAGCACAGCUGUAUGGAGUAAUGAAGAAGAUCCUGAAGCCUCCACAUAUGCACGAUGAUGUGAAAAAUGCCAUUGCCAUGUUUAGAGCUCUGCCAUCCAUGUUUCCUUCAGUUUCUCUACCCCCAAAAAAGCUGGGAAACAAAACAUGAGGCAUUAGUUCAUGGCCUUAAGGUAAAACUUUGCAUUUUUACAUUGCUUAAAGGAAAAAUAAAGACAAUUACUGCAAUUCUAUCCAUCUGUGACUGGCAGCAAUUUUCAGGGUUGCUUUUAAUGUUAGC
Erpetoichthys calabaricus (reedfish) is the source of this 757-nucleotide long non-coding RNA. RefSeq lists it as uncharacterized. The record is from RefSeq and is a predicted model, not a curated record. The transcript has 3 exons. Lineage: Eukaryota; Metazoa; Chordata; Cladistia; Polypteriformes; Polypteridae.